CAGUAGCCGCGGUAAUACGUAUGUCACAAGCGUUAUCCGGAUUUAUUGGGCGUAAAGCGCGCGCAGGCGGAUAGGUCAGUCUGUCUUAGAAGUUCGGGGCUUAACCCCGUGAUGGGAUGGAAACUGCCAAUCUAGAGUAUCGGAGAGGAAAGUGGAAUUCCUAGUGUAGCGGUGAAAUGCGUAGAUAUUAGGAAGAACACCAGUGGCGAAGGCGACUUUCUGGACGAAAACUGACGCUGAGGCGCGAAAGCCAGGGGAGCGAACGGGAUUAGAUACCCCCGUAGUCCCUGUCUCUUAUACA
This 301-nucleotide ribosomal RNA is filed under the name uncultured bacterium. RNAcentral's name for it is "partial 16S ribosomal RNA". It matches the Rfam family "Bacterial small subunit ribosomal RNA", at positions 509 to 809 of the family's 1533-position model. The record is from RNAcentral.